Molecule: long non-coding RNA, 1739 nt
Organism: Cyclopterus lumpus (lumpfish)
Lineage: Eukaryota; Metazoa; Chordata; Actinopteri; Perciformes; Cyclopteridae
Exons: 5
Source: RefSeq, a predicted model, not a curated record
GCUACAUCCGGUUUGUGAUAGACGGAGGAACUGAAGUGUAAAUAAAAUAUAUUAAAUAUAUGUCUAGGAAUGUUACAGUUAUAGGGAUAAUAGCUUUUAAAUAUAGCUUAAAUAUAGAGGCAGCAGUGGGGUCAAUAGGAGGAUGUCAGAUCAUUCAAGGAUGAUGUGACAGAAAGUAAAAUAGGUCUACAGAUAUUGUAUGACUUGGGAUAGAACAGGAAAUUGCCAAGACCUUGUAUAUGAAAUAUAAUUUACUAAUUCAGGGUAGCCAGUCUAGGGAAAGACAACGUUUAGGCACGCGUGGCUACCAGCACACGCAGGAAGCACGGAAAACGAGGAAGUAGACAAGUGAGCAUGGCGGUGACGGCCAAGAGAGAUUAUGUGGAAAUAAAUAACGUUAUAACACUUAUAUUUAAAGGACAGACACAGUUUGGUCUGCAAAAAGGAAGGAGUCGUAGAACAAGCAGAAUCAAUGAGUACAUUCAGAAUUGAGUAGAUUCAGAAUUGGCUACAAUAGUAUUAACUUAAAUAGUAAACUAUUUGUCAGUUGGAAACAUCUUACUAGACAUUAUAUUCAGACAAUAGUGCACGUACUAAUUAAAGCUGUGAUUAACAGUAGAGAGACGAUGGAGGGGGGUAUAACGUUUUAGAAAGGCUAUUUAACAUGCCUGUCUACAAUAUAAUUGGAAAACAGUGGAUGGUUAUAACCGGUAGAGGGAGCAGUAGCGCAACACAAAGGACGUCAUCUGCCGGAAGUUACCAGAGAAGAAGGAGAAGGGUAAUGUCUUUGCCGCGCCGCUGGGGACAGUUCAAAUGAAACGAGGAGAAAAUGCACGAUUUCCGUGCUGCCGUCUGAUGCUCCAAUGAAAGAAGUACCAGAAACCAAAGAGAAGGAAAUAACAUUUCACAGGUUCCCAAAAGAUAAGGUGAAAAGAGAGACGUGGGCAUUAACACAGAGGAGAAAUGACUUUGAGCCAAAUGACCGCUCGGUUGUUUGAGGCUUCAACAAAACUGGACAGAAGACUCGUUUAAAGGAAGAAGCCAUCUCGUCAUUUUCUUACAACCUUUACAAAAUUACAAAAAAUUUAAGGGUGGCUUCUUCCACAAACGACUGCUUCACCAAGACCAUAAGAGGAAUCAAGAAGUGGAAGGAGGGGACUGGCAGGAUGAAAGUGAUUAGAUCAAGUCAUGCAGAUGAUGUUCCCUGUGGAGAGGAUGCACCUGAAAGGGACCUAGGCUCCAAAUCAAGAAGAGUAGAGACAAGUUUGCAGCAUGUCGAUCAUGAUUACAACCAAAGACCCCUGCCAUUGGAGGAGCAACUUCAAGAGGCCCAGAAGACCAUUGCAUGCCAAGAAGAGCUUGUGAAACUAAGAAGGAACAGAUUCUUUCUUGAAUGAUUCCAAUGCUAAAUAUGUUCUACAUAGGGUUUAAAGAUUAUAUAACUCUCAUGGCUGUUUUUGUGGCUUUGCAACCUACAGCUGAAAGCAUGUUAGGAUGGGGUCAAGAUCAGCAAAUUAUGAGAAAGGGAUUUAAAGAGCAAAGCCUUACUCUCACAGACCAGUUUUUUCUCUUUCUGUGCCAUUUGAAGCAGGGUUUUUUUAGUGCAGGAUCUUGCUACUCGUUUCAAUGUUUCACAGACAACUGCCAGCAGAAUUUGCAUUAUUUUUACAAACUUUCUCUAUUACAUGUUAGGAUCUAUCCUUGUUUGGCCUUCACGAGAAAAGUAAAUUAACUUAUGC